This 358-nucleotide transfer-messenger RNA is filed under the name Anaerovoracaceae. RNAcentral's name for it is "CAJPNN01 sp905372035 Standard tmRNA". It matches the Rfam family "transfer-messenger RNA". From Rfam's summary of the family: Bacterial tmRNA, also known as 10Sa RNA or SsrA, is named for its dual tRNA and mRNA-like properties. The record is from RNAcentral. Lineage: Bacteria; Bacillati; Bacillota; Clostridia; Peptostreptococcales. RNAcentral also lists the same sequence under 2 other names.
GGGGAUGUAAAGGUUUCGACGUGGUUGUUGAAGCAGGAUAAGCGAGUCGCAGUUGUCCGGUCUGCGUUAAAAAGGACACGUUUAAAUAUAAACGCUAAAAAUAAUAACAACAAUUACGCAUUAGCAGCGUAGCUGCAGCGUCGCCCACUUCGGUUUACCUGUAGGCUGAGGAUCGGGCGUCAAAUAUACAGGAAAACUUUCUGUGAGUGUUCGGUAGCAGGAAGGAAUUACGAACUGGCGAAGCUUUAAGCCUGUCGAUAGGCGUAUUGCCGAGCGAGAUUUAAAAUAUCGAAUGCACUCGGAGAAAGUCUUGUGAAUAUGGUUGCGGACAGGGGUUCGACUCCCCUCAUCUCCACCA